This 433-nucleotide ribosomal RNA is filed under the name uncultured bacterium. RNAcentral's name for it is "partial 16S ribosomal RNA". It matches the Rfam family "Bacterial small subunit ribosomal RNA", at positions 29 to 507 of the family's 1533-position model. The record is from RNAcentral.
AACGAACGCUGGCGGCAGGCCUAACACAUGCAAGUCGAGCGCGCCCUUCGGGGUGAGCGGCGGACGGGUGAGUAACGCGUGGGAACGUGCCCUUCUCUGCGGAAUAGCCUCGGGAAACUGAGAGUAAUACCGCAUACGCCCUUUGGGGGAAAGAUUUAUCGGAGAAGGAUCGGCCCGCGUUGGAUUAGGUAGUUGGUGGGGUAAUGGCCCACCAAGCCGACGAUCCAUAGCUGGUUUGAGAGGAUGAUCAGCCACACCGGGACUGAGACACGGCCCAGCCUCCUACGGGAGGCAGCAGUGGGGAAUCUUAGACAAUGGGGGCAACCCUGAUCUAGCCAUGCCGCGUGAGUGAUGAAGGCCUUAGGGUUGUAAAGCUCUUUCAGCUGGGAAGAUAAUGACGGUACCAGCAGAAGAAGCCCCGGCUAACUCCGUG